CAGAGCCUACGGGAGGCAGCAGUGAGGAAUAUUGGUCAAUGGACGGAAGUCUGAACCAGCCAUGCCGCGUGCAGGAAGACGGCUCUAUGAGUUGUAAACUGCUUUUGUACAAGGGUAAACCUGAAUACGUGCAUUCAGCUGAAAGUACGGUACGAAUAAGGAUCGGCUAACUCCGUGCCAGCAGCCGCGGUAAUACGGAGGAUCCGAGCGUUAUCCGGAUUCAUUGGGUUUAAAGGGUGCGUAGGUUGUUAUAUAAGUUAGCGGUGAAAUACCGAUGCUCAACAUCGGGGCUGCCGCUAAUACUG
Molecule: ribosomal RNA, 305 nt
Filed under: uncultured bacterium
Lineage: Bacteria
Description: bacterial SSU rRNA
Rfam family: Bacterial small subunit ribosomal RNA
Source: RNAcentral